RNAcentral lists this long non-coding RNA (225 nucleotides) under Coccomyxa subellipsoidea. RNAcentral describes it as "long non-coding RNA (CSUB_LNC000230)". Lineage: Eukaryota; Viridiplantae; Chlorophyta; Trebouxiophyceae; Coccomyxaceae. The record is from RNAcentral.
CAGGUGGUAUCGCUGAGCGAGGAAGAGAGGCAGCGGGCUGAGAAGGCCAGGGCAGAUGCAGAGGCGGCGCGCAGGGCGGCCGAUGAGAAGCUGGCCGCAGAGGCCGAAGCGCGCCGCAGGCGUGAUGCCGAGCGCGUGAAGCUGCAGUUUGGGCCCCCGGCCCCGCCGCCCCCUGCCGUGAAGGCUGGGCCGACCCCCGAGGAGCUGGCGGCCGCCGCUGCAAAG